This is a non-coding RNA of Pelobates cultripes (western spadefoot toad), 305 nucleotides long. NCBI's taxonomy places the organism in Eukaryota, Metazoa, Chordata, Amphibia, Anura, Pelobatidae. The record is from the annotation of a GenBank genome assembly.
GAUUUUUUCUGCAAAAACAUAUCAUGCAGCAAUUUUGGGGUAACAACAGUAGAAUAACAGAGAUCACAGGCAGACAAGUUACUAAGAAAGAAAUACAUUGGGCUUUGCAAGUCAGAAAUUACCAUGAUUAUAACCAUGGUGCCGAUAUUGCCAAAAGCAGUAACAAUAUAUAUCAAUGAGAAGAAAAUGAAAAGGAAUAUUUGCAAGUUUGGAUCGUUGGUAAUACCUAAAAAGAUAAACUCGCUUACAGUAGUCUGGUUUCCUUCUUCCAUAUGUUCAAGGUAUUUGAAAAUAAUAAAUGCAAC